GGACAUUGUCCCUCCACAUAACACUAUCACAUGUAACACCCAGACCAGCAGAGAAGAAACACAACGCAGAUAAUUAACACAACAUCGACAUCACCAGCAGAGAGAGAGAGACAUCAAGAGAAGUAUUCUGUACUGCAAUAAAGAAAGACUAACUGUGUGUGUGAGGUCAGUGAUCGUGUCUCCGCUGUUUUAGACGUCCUCACCCUUGCUCCCACUAUGAAGAACUUCUGGAACGCUGUGGAAUCUGUUGGUCAUGUCAUCGCUUACUUCUACGAAGAGAAACGCUCCCAUGUUCUGCAGCAGUGCGUGUACGAUCAGCAGGUCACCAUCUUUAAACUGCAGUGGGUCAUCGGCCUGCUGGUGGCGGCGCUGGUGCUCCUGUGUGCACUCGUGUGUGUGCGCUUCUGUACAACCAACUCAUGUGCACAUGAAGAGGAAAAAAAUCUAUGUGGCACUACUGUUGGAAAUGUAAAGCAGAUCAUGGCAAUGAUUUGUAAAGUGAAAAGAUUGUAUAAUAGUUUUUUUUCGUAACAUUAUCUCUUUCACACCAGAAUCCAAGCAAAAGUCUGACUGGAGUUCAUUUCCCUCUUAUUAAACUUACUGUAAUGAGUAAUAAGUAGAGUUUUAGUUAUUGGAUCAAAGCAGCAAAAUUUUACUGUAUUUUCUUUAUGUAAAGUUAUUGUACAAUUAAAAACAAACAUUAAAUGUAAAGUAGGUGUGUAUCUCCAGGUGUCCCUGUCCUUCUCCACUUGCUGUAACUAUGAGCUGGUGUGACUUAAUCACACAACCUGAUGACAAAACCUUACAGCACUGAUAAAACACUGGGACUCGUGUGUAACUGAAGGACUCGAACACAAACAUCACCCAAACACACACUCGCUCUUCACCACAACCUCGACAGCGCGUUUAUUUCUGAAACAUCUGCGUGAGAAAUUAACAAAACUAACAAAAAAAUUACAAAAAAAAAAAAAAAAGAAGAAGAAAAGA
This is a long non-coding RNA of Clarias gariepinus (North African catfish), 987 nucleotides long. RefSeq lists it as uncharacterized. NCBI's taxonomy places the organism in Eukaryota, Metazoa, Chordata, Actinopteri, Siluriformes, Clariidae. The record is from RefSeq and is a predicted model, not a curated record. The transcript has 3 exons.